This 481-nucleotide ribosomal RNA is filed under the name uncultured bacterium. RNAcentral's name for it is "bacterial SSU rRNA". It matches the Rfam family "Bacterial small subunit ribosomal RNA", at positions 28 to 507 of the family's 1533-position model. The record is from RNAcentral.
GGUGAACGCUGGCGGCGUGCCUAACACAUGCAAGUCGAGCGGUACAGUUUGAAGCUUCGGUGGAGAGCUGUAUAGCGGCGGACGGGUGAGUAAAAGCGUAGGAACGUGCCCCUCGGAGUUGGAUAGCCAUGGGAAACUGUGGGUAAACCGACAUAGACUCGGGAGAGUAAAGGCCGAAAGGCGCCGAGGGAGCGGUCUGCGUCCCAUCAGGUAGUUGGUAGGGUAAAGGCCUACCAAGCCGACGACGGGUAACCGGUCUGAGAGGAUGGCCGGUCACAAGGGCACUGAGAGACGGGCCCUACUCCUACGGGAGGCAGCAGUGGGGAUUUUGGACAAUGGGCGAAAGCCUGAUCCAGCGACGCCGCGUGAACGAUGAAUCCCUUCGGGGUGUAAAGUUCUUUUAUAUGUGAGCAGUGCUUCUUAUAUUAACAGUAUGGGGAGAGAGAUAUUAGCAUAUGAAUAAGCAACGGCUAACUCCGUG